This 234-nucleotide ribosomal RNA is filed under the name uncultured Pseudomonas sp. RNAcentral describes it as "partial 16S ribosomal RNA". It matches the Rfam family "Bacterial small subunit ribosomal RNA", at positions 1152 to 1382 of the family's 1533-position model. Lineage: Bacteria; Pseudomonadati; Pseudomonadota; Gammaproteobacteria; Pseudomonadales; Pseudomonadaceae. The record is from RNAcentral.
CCGGUGGACAAACCGGAGGAAGGUGGGAUGACGUCAAGUCCAUCAUGGCCCUUACGGCCUGGGCUACACACGUGCUACAAUGGUCGGUACAAAGGGUUGCCAAGCCGCGAGGUGGAGCUAAUACCCAUAAAACCGAUCGUAGUCCGGAUCGCAGUCUGCAACUCGACUGCGUGAAGUCGGAAUCGCUAGUAAUCGUGAAUCAGAAUGUCACGGUGAAUACGUUCCCCGGGCCUU